RNAcentral lists this ribosomal RNA (528 nucleotides) under uncultured bacterium. Its description in RNAcentral is "bacterial SSU rRNA". It matches the Rfam family "Bacterial small subunit ribosomal RNA", at positions 17 to 518 of the family's 1533-position model. The record is from RNAcentral.
AUAUGGCUCAGGACGAACGCUGGCGGCGUGCCUAAUACAUGCAAGUCGAACGGUCUUUCUAUGGAAGCCUGCUUCCACUGAGAAGAUAGUGGCGAACGGGUGAGUAACACGUGGGUAACCUGCCCAUAAGAGGGGGAUAACAUCCGGAAACGGGUGCUAAUACCGCAUAGUUUUCUUGGUCGCAUGAUCGGGAAAGGAAAGACGGCCUUUGUGCUGUCGCUUAUGGAUGGACCCGCGGCGUAUUAGUUAGUUGGUGAGGUAACGGCUCACCAAGACGAUGAUACGUAGCCGACCUGAGAGGGUGAUCGGCCACAUUGGGACUGAGACACGGCCCAAACUCCUACGGGAGGCAGCAGUAGGGAAUCUUCCGCAAUGGACGAAAGUCUGACGGAGCAACGCCGCGUGAGUGAAAGAAGGUUUUCGGAUCGUAAAACUCUGUUGUCAGAGAAGAACAAGUUGGAGAGUAACUGCUCCAGCCUUGACGGUAUCUGACCAGAAAGCCACGGCUAACUACGUGCCAGCCGCCGC